AUUCGCUGCAGCGCCUAUGGAUGUAAAGAAAGUUUCGUGAAAGGAGGACCUGUAACCUUUCAUAGUUUCCCUAAAGAUCCAGAAAGGCAAAAACAAUGGGAAGUACAACUGCGGCGGGAAAACUUUAGAGUAACCAAGUAUUCAAAGUUAUGUUCGAAACAUUUUACAUCAGACUGCUUCGAUAGAACAAAGUUUGGAGGCACCUGGUUAAAGGCCACAGCAAUUCCAACGUUAUUUAAUUUCCCUUCUCACUUACAAAAAAA
This is a long non-coding RNA of Stegodyphus dumicola, 263 nucleotides long. The record is from RefSeq and is a predicted model, not a curated record. NCBI's taxonomy places the organism in Eukaryota, Metazoa, Arthropoda, Arachnida, Araneae, Eresidae.